RNAcentral lists this non-coding RNA (18 nucleotides) under Arabidopsis thaliana (thale cress). Lineage: Eukaryota; Viridiplantae; Streptophyta; Magnoliopsida; Brassicales; Brassicaceae. The record is from RNAcentral.
UCUUGCUAUUUCCUCUUG